AGCUUACACAUGCAGUCGAACGAACUCUUCGGAGUUAGUGGCAGACGGGUGAGUAACGCGUGGGAAUAUACCUUUCGGUACGGAACAACAGUUGGAAACGACUGCUAAUACCGUAUGCGCCCUAUGGGGGAAAGAUUUAUCGCCGAAGGAUUAGCCCGCGUUGGAUUAGCUAGUUGGUGGGGUAAAGGCCUACCAAGGCGACGAUCCAUAGCUGGUCUGAGAGGAUGAUCAGCCACACUGGGACUGAGACACGGCCCAGACUCCUACGGGAGGCAGCAGUGGGGAAUAUUGGACAAUGGGGGCAACCCUGAUCCAGCCAUGCCGCGUGAGUGAUGAAGGCCCUAGGGUUGUAAAGCUCUUUCAGCGAGGAGGAUAAUGACGUUACUCGCAGAAGAAGCCCCGGCUAACUUCGUGCCAGCAGCCGCGGUAAUACGAAGGGGGCUAGCGUUGUUCGGAAUCACUGGGCGUAAAGCGCACGUAGGCGGAUUGGUCAGUUAGGGGUGAAAUCCCAGAGCUCAACUCUGGAACUGCCUUUAAUACUGCCAGUCUUGAGUCCGAGAGAGGUGAGUGGAACUCCGAGUGUAGAGGUGAAAUUCGUAGAUAUUCGGAA
Molecule: ribosomal RNA, 610 nt
Filed under: Labrenzia sp.
Lineage: Bacteria; Pseudomonadati; Pseudomonadota; Alphaproteobacteria; Hyphomicrobiales; Stappiaceae
Description: bacterial SSU rRNA
Rfam family: Bacterial small subunit ribosomal RNA
Source: RNAcentral